Molecule: ribosomal RNA, 336 nt
Filed under: uncultured Pseudomonadota bacterium
Lineage: Bacteria; Pseudomonadati; Pseudomonadota
Description: bacterial SSU rRNA
Rfam family: Bacterial small subunit ribosomal RNA
Source: RNAcentral
AACGAACGCUGGCGGCGUGCUUAACACAUGCAAGUCGAACGCGAAAGGGACUUCGGUCCUGAGUAGAGUGGCGCACGGGUGAGUAACGCGUAAGUGAUCUACCCCUGUAUUUGGGAUAACUAUGGGAAACUGUAGCUAAUACCGGAUACGUUCAUGUAGUUGCGAUUAUAUGAAGAAAGAUGGCCUCUGAUUCAAGCUAUUGUACAGGGAGGAGCUUGCGUACCAUUAGCUAGUUGGUAGGGUAAUGGCCUACCAAGGCAACGAUGGUUAGCGGGUCUGAGAGGAUGAUCCGCCACACUGGAACUGAAACACGGACCAGACUCCUACGGGAGGCAG